RNAcentral lists this ribosomal RNA (468 nucleotides) under uncultured bacterium. Its description in RNAcentral is "partial 16S ribosomal RNA". It matches the Rfam family "Bacterial small subunit ribosomal RNA", at positions 28 to 507 of the family's 1533-position model. The record is from RNAcentral.
GACGAACGCUGGCGGCGUGCUUAACACAUGCAAGUCGAACGGAAAGGCCCUGCUUUUGUGGGGUGCUCGAGUGGCGAACGGGUGAGUAACACGUGAGUAACCUGCCCUUGACUUUGGGAUAACUUCAGGAAACUGGGGCUAAUACCGGAUAGGAGCUCCUGCUGCAUGGUGGGGGUUGGAAAGUUUCGGCGGUGUGGGAUGGACUCGCGGCUUAUCAGCUUGUUGGUGGGGUAGGGGCUUACCAAGGCUUUGACGGGUAGCCGGCCUGAGAGAGUGACCGGCCCCAUUGGGAAUGAGAUACGGCCCGAACUCCUAAGGGGGGCAGGAGUGGGGAGUAUGGCGGAAUGGGGGGAGGCCUAAUGCAGCAACGCCGGGUGCGGGAUGACGGCCGUCGGGGUGUAAACCGCUUUCGCCUGUGACGAAGCGUGAGUGACGGUAAUGGGUAAAGAAGCACCGGGUAACUACGUG